Dipodomys ordii (Ord's kangaroo rat) is the source of this 773-nucleotide long non-coding RNA. RefSeq lists it as uncharacterized. The transcript is spliced from 2 exons. The record is from RefSeq and is a predicted model, not a curated record. NCBI's taxonomy places the organism in Eukaryota, Metazoa, Chordata, Mammalia, Rodentia, Heteromyidae.
CUUGAGGAGGGCAUGCUGUUCUCUGCCCUCUAGGCCUCCCUGUGGCAUAUUACCCGUUUCUCCUUCAGCCAACCAACUAAGCUUAUUGGUGUAUUUAAUUCUGGCCACCCAGACUGGUUUUUAUUCAGCUCUGCACCUGUUGCUACAGCGAUGAGACACAGGUGGGUACCUGGUUAAGAGAAGAUGUUGGCCUGGCUGCCAGAGGGUGGAUGGACUGAGCUGGGCAUGCACAGCGUCCUGGGAGGGCCUGAGGAUGGAGCCAAGAGCCCCUGGGCGAUUUAAACAGAGCCAACUCUGUCCUGCUUUGGCUCAAGCUGUCCAUGAGCACGGGGUCUCAGAACAAGCCCUGUCGCCUAUCUGGGCCCUUGUUUCUCAUAGUAAGGUGGACAGUGGGCUCGUGGGCUGGAGGGGUCACCGUGGCGCAUCCUCCUGGGGAGGGACGGGAGGGGGGCAGGCAAGCAACACAGCAGCAUGAGCUCCGGGCAGCUGAUCCACCUCUGGGACCCGUCCUCCCACGGUGCAACCCAAGGAGCCACAGCCUGGCCUGAGCCGGUCCCUGCUGCCCUCUCCCCUCACCCGGCCCGUGGCAGGAGGAAGGGGUGGGGCUCACACAGCCCUGGAACCCCAGAGGUACCGUCCAGAUCCAAGGCCUCACUGUGACUCAACCACCUCUUAGUCUGAAAUCUGAGAAGAUUGCAAGGCUGAAGCAGGUUUGUGUUUAAGAAAACAAAAACCAUUGGGCUAUGAAUCUUUGAGAAUCUACUAAAAGCUCU